UACGGGGGGAGCAAGCGUUGUUCGGAUUUACUGGGCGUAAAGGGCGCGUAGGCGGUCAGCACAAGUCAGUUGUGAAAUCUCCGGGCUUAACUCGGAAAGGUCAACUGAUACUGUGCGCCUAGAGUGCGGAAGGGGCAACUGGAAUUCUCGGUGUAGCGGUGAAAUGCGUAGAUAUCGAGAGGAACACCUGCGGCGAAGGCGGGUUGCUGGGCCGACACUGACGCUGAUGCGCGAAAGCCAGGGGAGCGAACGGG
Molecule: ribosomal RNA, 254 nt
Filed under: uncultured bacterium
Lineage: Bacteria
Description: partial 16S ribosomal RNA
Rfam family: Bacterial small subunit ribosomal RNA
Source: RNAcentral